RNAcentral lists this ribosomal RNA (1520 nucleotides) under Klebsiella variicola. Its description in RNAcentral is "bacterial SSU rRNA". It matches the Rfam family "Bacterial small subunit ribosomal RNA". Lineage: Bacteria; Pseudomonadati; Pseudomonadota; Gammaproteobacteria; Enterobacterales; Enterobacteriaceae. The record is from RNAcentral.
AGAGUUUGAUCAUGGCUCAGAUUGAACGCUGGCGGCAGGCCUAACACAUGCAAGUCGAGCGGUAGCACAGAGAGCUUGCUCUCGGGUGACGAGCGGCGGACGGGUGAGUAAUGUCUGGGAAACUGCCUGAUGGAGGGGGAUAACUACUGGAAACGGUAGCUAAUACCGCAUAACGUCGCAAGACCAAAGUGGGGGACCUUCGGGCCUCAUGCCAUCAGAUGUGCCCAGAUGGGAUUAGCUNNNNNNNNNNNNNNNGGCUCACCUAGGCGACGAUCCCUAGCUGGUCUGAGAGGAUGACCAGCCACACUGGAACUGAGACACGGUCCAGACUCCUACGGGAGGCAGCAGUGGGGAAUAUUGCACAAUGGGCGCAAGCCUGAUGCAGCCAUGCCGCGUGUGUGAAGAAGGCCUUCGGGUUGUAAAGCACUUUCAGCGGGGAGGAAGGCGGUGAGGUUAAUAACCUCACCGAUUGACGUUACCCGCAGAAGAAGCACCGGCUAACUCCGUGCCAGCAGCCGCGGUAAUACGGAGGGUGCAAGCGUUAAUCGGAAUUACUGGGCGUAAAGCGCACGCAGGCGGUCUGUCAAGUCGGAUGUGAAAUCCCCGGGCUCAACCUGGGAACUGCAUUCGAAACUGGCAGGCUAGAGUCUUGUAGAGGGGGGUAGAAUUCCAGGUGUAGCGGUGAAAUGCGUAGAGAUCUGGAGGAAUACCGGUGGCGAAGGCGGCCCCCUGGACAAAGACUGACGCUCAGGUGCGAAAGCGUGGGGAGCAAACAGGAUUAGAUACCCUGGUAGUCCACGCUGUAAACGAUGUCGAUUUGGAGGUUGUGCCCUUGAGGCGUGGCUUCCGGAGCUAACGCGUUAAAUCGACCGCCUGGGGAGUACGGCCGCAAGGUUAAAACUCAAAUGAAUUGACGGGGGCCCGCACAAGCGGUGGAGCAUGUGGUUUAAUUCGAUGCAACGCGAAGAACCUUACCUGGUCUUGACAUCCACAGAACUUUCCAGAGAUGGAUUGGUGCCUUCGGGAACUGUGAGACAGGUGCUGCAUGGCUGUCGUCAGCUCGUGUUGUGAAAUGUUGGGUUAAGUCCCGCAACGAGCGCAACCCUUAUCCUUUGUUGCCAGCGGUUAGGCCGGGAACUCAAAGGAGACUGCCAGUGAUAAACUGGAGGAAGGUGGGGAUGACGUCAAGUCAUCAUGGCCCUUACGACCAGGGCUACACACGUGCUACAAUGGCAUAUACAAAGAGAAGCGACCUCGCGAGAGCAAGCGGACCUCAUAAAGUAUGUCGUAGUCCGGAUUGGAGUCUGCAACUCGACUCCAUGAAGUCGGAAUCGCUAGUAAUCGUAGAUCAGAAUGCUACGGUGAAUACGUUCCCGGGCCUUGUACACACCGCCCGUCACACCAUGGGAGUGGGUUGCAAAAGAAGUAGGUAGCUUAACCUUCGGGAGGGCGCUUACCACUUUGUGAUUCAUGACUGGGGUGAAGUCGUAACAAGGUAACCGUAGGGGAACCUGCGGUUG